CUCUAUAUGCAACUCUCCUCCCUCAUUUCCACUCUCCACAGUCACUCUCUUCUCUUACGCUUCAUUAGUUUCCGGUGUCAAGAUUCUCUUUUCGAAGAGUCUUUCCCUUCUUUAUUGUCGGAUUGCGAAAAGCUACCCCUUUUCUUCUGUUUCUAAACGGUGGACAUGAAUUUUACCGUACCUCGCUGGUGACCUUCUUUGAAAGGGUUUUUCUUUUUGUGCGGUGCAAAGACCGGUGGAUAUGGAUAUUACAGUUUCUCAAUCUGGUGACGUUGUGUAGAUGGAAGGGUUUUUCUCUUUGUUCCUCACUCUGGUGACCAUGUGCCGAUGGAAGGUAAAAAUUAAAGUCAUGCAAUGGUGAUGUUAUUGCUUCCAAUCCACCUUGAAGCAACUCUUUGAGGAAUUUGAAAGUGGUGAUGAUUCUUCAUUGCUAGGAUCUGUAACAGUGCACAUAAUGGAAGCUUGAAAACAAAUUUAGAAGGAAGAUCAAAGCGGUAUAAAGACCUUGCAUUGACAUAUCUUUUUCUCAUGAACAAUGUUCAUUAUAUUGUCAGAUUAGUUUGGAGGUCUGAAGACAAUGAUUUGCUAGGUAUGACUGGGUACAAUGACAUCGGAGGAUUGUUCAGCAGCAUUCAAAUCAAUACAAAAGAAAUACUUGGGCAAAAGUCUUGUUCUAGUGACCUUACUGAUUAUUACAUGUCUUGCAGCUUUCUUAUAUGUCACUUGGAUAAUGAUAACAUAUAUUUAGUCCCUCUAAAAUUAUCAAAAUUUGCUUUUAGUCUUGAUUUUUUUUUGUUCUAUUCCGGUCCCCAAAUUUAAAAAUUCAUCACUUUUAGUCCUCCAAGUACUUAGGUAGUGCUUAAAAAUUGUUUUAAGUUGCUAUUUAAGCUACUUUUGAGAUAAAAAAACUGCAUUUCCAAAUUUGUGGGACUAAAAUAGGACAAAAUUUUAGAAGUACUAAAACCGAACUAGAAAUGUUUUCGAAGGAACAGGAACAAAAACAUAUUUUACCUUUUUUUUAUAAUAAAGGUGUUCUAGUAGAUUGUUUUAAUAUUUCUUGAUGUUUGGUUUCAUGGGAAUGC
Non-coding RNA from Cajanus cajan (pigeon pea), 1082 nucleotides. The record is from RefSeq and is a predicted model, not a curated record. NCBI's taxonomy places the organism in Eukaryota, Viridiplantae, Streptophyta, Magnoliopsida, Fabales, Fabaceae.